This is a non-coding RNA of Callorhinus ursinus (northern fur seal), 1766 nucleotides long. The record is from RefSeq and is a predicted model, not a curated record. NCBI's taxonomy places the organism in Eukaryota, Metazoa, Chordata, Mammalia, Carnivora, Otariidae.
GCCGGUUCAUCAGAAGCCACCGGGGCACACAGCCCAGAAAGGCCACCCGCACCCAGUGGGGCAUCGUGUGGGUGCUGGGGGAGCGGUGGUGGACGUUGAGGACAAAGACCGUGAUGACGAUGGAGAGCGUGACGAAGAUCAUGGUGAAGAGCAGGUGCCCGUGGCCUUGAUGAUGGCCCACUCGCCGCUCUCCCAGUAGUCCUUCAGGUCCACCGUCGGCUCCAUCUGCUCCAGGUCGAUCUUGGCCUUGUCGUAGGUCCAGGAGCCAAACUUCAUCUUGCAGUUCUGCUGGUCGAAGGGGAAGAAGGUAACGUCGAUGCUGCAGGAGCUCUUGUAGAUGGCGGGGGGCACCCAGUGCACGGUGCCCGUGGAGAAGAGCAGAUGGUGAGCAAGGCCCUCAUCUAGGGUCACGUCUUUUCCACCCGGGAUCCUUAGUUCCUGGCUCAGAAGAGACCUAACACCUUUGCUGGUGCUGGAAGAUACCUCCUUGGCCCCGUCCAUGUACUGGGCAUUUCUGCACUCAGCCCCAACCGCUAGGCCCUUUAGAGGAGCUGUGGGGGAUGGAAUGUGACAUAGGCCUGCCCUUAAGGAACCGUGAGGAACCACAAGGAAAUGCGAUGCAGCCCUAAACACCUAUAACACAAGGGAGGUGGUUUGGCAACAGCAUCACAGGGGUAGCCCACUGGGGGUGGGCGGGGAGGAUGGGCCUCCCUUCUGGCUGGAGUGAGCAGGUUCACCCUGAAGGUUGCCAGUAGGAUUGGUGGAGAGUUGGGGUGGAGAGCAUACUAGCGGAAUAAAGGUGGGGAACAAGGAACAGAGGAAGGGAAGGACAAAACUCACAGUGUGUGCUCAGGCUGGGGGGGCAGGGCAUAAGAAAGGGUGGUGGGAAAUGACCCCUGUGGCAUCAUGGGGCUAGGCAUCCAAGGGCCCACCAGGGCUCUGGGAACAGUGGAGGAACAGUGACCAUUUGCUGGGGCUUCCUGAGAGCCUGAGUCCCUGACUCCUCUGGGGGGAUGGUGCUGUGGGCUCUGUGCCCUGGUGUUCAAGGAGCCUUCCUUCUCCCUCCAAUUCCUUAAAGUCAAGGGAACCAGAAGAAUACACAGGAAGACAGACUUCUUUCCUAUGGAGAAAUCCCAGGCUAGGGAUUGGAAAACGGGAGACUUAGAAGGUUGGAAACAGGAACUUUGAUAAACAAUAACGACCAGAUCAGUCCGAAGUUUAACUUUUUUUUAAAGGCAUUUUUGUCACCACACAGAACUACCACUAGAUGGCAACAUGUGCCCCAUUUGGAGGAAGGAAAGGCGCAAUUUCCUCCAUCCUCCUGUUUCACCUGGAGUGGAAUGUCUGGCUAGAGGAGACCCUUCUUUAAAUGUCUGCAAGAAUCUGGUUUGGACUUUCGUCCUAUCCAAAGAAUUUCCUGUUAUUAUCAAGGACCACUGGUUGGAGCUUUAUUGACGAUCCCAAACUUCAGGUCAUAUCUGAUGCUAGGACCUUUCGCCUGACUUUUCUGCCAGGUGCAAAGGGAGCAGUAACUAGAAGGAUCUUGAGUGCUGGCUCCGGGGCAUAAAGAUAUGGAGGAAGGGGCCCAUGAGUCCAGUGACAGCCGCCAACACCAGGCACCUGCAGUUAGACCUUGCGGUAAUCUGUGCUGAAUGUGUGUUUAUGGACAUGGCUCAGGGACAAGGGCUUUGGGUCUGACCAGGACGGGGUGGUAUAAAGGAGUCAUUUGUCAUGACUUUCUCUGAAGACACCAAAACUCAAAAAUG